GAUCAAGCUGCUGAUAUGCCAGCCGGGGGAUGGCUCGGCUCGAGCGCUGAUGAAGGGCGUGCCAAGCUGCGAUAAGCCCCGGCGAGGCGCAUGGAGCCUUUGAACCGGGGAUGCCCUAAUGGGAAAUCCCAGCUUUAUGCUGAUCCGUGAGGAUCGGGAACGCCCCGGAUUGAAACAUCUUAGUAGGGGCAGGAGAAGAACUCAACCGAGAUGCCGUCAGUAACGGC
This 227-nucleotide ribosomal RNA is filed under the name Caldisericota bacterium. RNAcentral describes it as "partial 23S ribosomal RNA". It matches the Rfam family "Archaeal large subunit ribosomal RNA", at positions 1 to 231 of the family's 2987-position model. The record is from RNAcentral. Lineage: Bacteria; Pseudomonadati; Caldisericota.